AUAGAUACCCGGUAGUCCAUGCCGUAAACGUUGGGCGCUAGAUGUGGGGACCAUUCCACGGUUUCCGUGUCGCAGCUAACGCAUUAAGCGCCCCGCCUGGGGAGUACGGCCGCAAGGCUAAAACUCAAAGGAAUUGACGGGGGCCCGCACAAGCGGCGGAGCAUGCGGAUUAAUUCGAUGCAACGCGAAGAACCUUACCAAGGCUUGACAUAUACGAGAACGCUCUAGAAAUAGAGAACUCUUUGGACACUCGUAUACAGGUGGUGCAUGGUUGUCGUCAGCUCGUGUCGUGAGAUGUUGGGUUAAGUCCCGCAACGAGCGCAACCCUCGUUCUAUGUUGCCAGCGGUUCGGCCGGGAACUCGUAGGAGACUGCCGGGGUCAACUCGGAGGAAGGUGGGGAUGACGUCAAAUCAUCAUGCCCCCUAUGUCUUGGGCUUCACGCAUGCUACAAUGGCCGGUACAAAGGGCUGCAAUACCGUAAGGUGGAGCGAAUCCCAAAAAGCCGGUCUCAGUUCGGAUUGAGGUCUGCAACUCGACCU
This 540-nucleotide ribosomal RNA is filed under the name uncultured bacterium. Its description in RNAcentral is "bacterial SSU rRNA". It matches the Rfam family "Bacterial small subunit ribosomal RNA", at positions 778 to 1318 of the family's 1533-position model. The record is from RNAcentral.